CAAAAUAUCAUUUUCAAUGUCCAUAACACUUCCUCAAUCGACCAUUCAGUUUCCACUCUCCAGCUCCACUCUAGUUUGUCCCAACCUAGAGCAUUAGUCCCGAAAUCUUACAAAAUUAAUGACCGGCAACGAUUGAGAUGACUGAGCAAGUGGCGACCGACCGAAAGGAACACAUGAGACUAUGUGACAACAACUGAAAGGACGAAUGAUUGACGGACGACGAGGAGAGAUGAAAUCCGACCGACGGAGCCCAAGAGACGAAUCGAGAGGAUGAACGACCGACCUACUACGAUUUGAGACAAUAUCUGACUGAGAAUUGAGCAGAAACUGUUGUUGGAAAUGAUCUUAAAGAAUUGUGGGGACAUUGUCCAUAUGCAUGUGGCAGAGAGAGAUGUUCUUCAUGAGAUGGUUAAAAUAGUAAAGAAAUAGCCUGACUUUCAUGUCAAGGAGAAGAUACUGAUUCUAAUAGAUACUUGGCAAGAAGCUUUUGGAGGACCGAGGGCAAGAUAUCCACAAUAUUUUGCAGCAUACCAGGAGUUGUUGGUAUGUUUCUGGUGGAUGGUUUUUUAAGUGAUUAAUUAGUGGAGAAAAAACCUAUGUGAUGAGACAUGGCACUGCCGUUUAUUCAUCUUUUCAUGCAUUUUCUACAUAGAUUGAUUUCAUUGUACAUUUCUAUACUGAUUCUGAGAAUAUUUGAAAUGGUGGUAAUCACCAAGAGGCAGCUGAGUCUUCUGCAGAUUCUGAGUUCCCAACUUUGAGGUACUUCUCUUGGCUGGUUUUUAAUGGAAGCUAAUUUAGUGGUACUUAAUGCCAUGAGCAUAGCCAUUUGUUUGAUACUUGUGCUGUUUUUUUAAGCUGCCUGUGAGAAUAUGAUGUUAGAAUUUGUUAUGCACACACACUUAAUUGGUGCAGUAGUUCAUUGUUAUUGUGAUUUCAUUUCAGUGGUCAAUCCUCUCUGCUUAUGGCUCUAUUAUUUUUUUAUUUUUUGUCAUGUCUUUCUUCUGAGUACUGGAGCACUAACUUCACCUGAUGAUUUGGGUAUUGCAAAAAUAAGAAUGAGUAUUGACUAUUUGCUUUAUUUUAAUUUUUAAUGUUUGUGUUGCAUUUACUACUUCCUUUCCUAUCUUCUGUGGUAAAAUUAGUAAUCAUGUUUCAUAAUUUAGCUAGAAUUUGACUAGCCUGACAAAAAUUCAGAUUGCACGUGGCAUUAUGGAUGUCCUUUUCGAAAUGCUGAAUGCAUUAGAUCAAAGCAACAAAGAGUUACUAUUCAAACACUAUUUGAAUGGACACUUUGCUACUAAAUCUUGGUGCGAGUUGGAUAAUUAAUUGAUAUGUAAUGCUCAAACUUAUGAAAUUUAGAUAAGUUUUAAGAUCUUACAUGGGCUUAAGCAGGAGGUGAUUGUUGACUUGGUGGAACAGUGUCGAACAUCUUGCUAAUUCAAUUAAGUCAUAGUUUUUCACCCACUUGUAUGUGUUUCUUAUAUAGUGAUGACUCAAAUCUUUUACUGUUUCCCUGUUUCAAUAUCAUGCUGUUAUAUUGCUAUUUUUAUGUCAAGUUUCAGCACUGCUAUGUCAGCAUAUAUACUUCUGCGGUAAAUUUUUAUCUAUUUCUUUCAGAGAUGAGUCACUGCUAUGUCAAGAAUUUCUUGCAUAACAGUCAAUGGGUAUCAAUGUUGUUUUGCGUGU
Long non-coding RNA from Mangifera indica (mango), 1686 nucleotides. RefSeq lists it as uncharacterized. The record is from RefSeq and is a predicted model, not a curated record. The transcript has 4 exons. Lineage: Eukaryota; Viridiplantae; Streptophyta; Magnoliopsida; Sapindales; Anacardiaceae.